Molecule: small nuclear RNA, 200 nt
Organism: Chelonoidis abingdonii (Abingdon island giant tortoise)
Lineage: Eukaryota; Metazoa; Chordata; Testudines; Testudinidae
Product: U2 spliceosomal RNA
Source: RefSeq, a predicted model, not a curated record
GUCGCUUCUCGGCUCUAUGAGCUAAGAUCAAGCGCAGUAUCUGUUCUUAUCAGUUUAAUAUCUGGUAUGUUUUCUAUUUGAAAAUUAUAUUGCACGUGAAACUCAGCACUGGAGUAUUUACAAGUAUGCAACAGCAUACAUACACAAAAGGUAAUGACCAAGAAUGUCUUUUUCACUAUGAAUAUAAAGUGGUGUGCUUU